GACGUCCAUCAAGAAGGAUCCAAUAAGCAAUUGAGAGCGCAAACGAAGCGGCAGGUUAAUCCAAAAAUCCAUGGCUGAGACAAGAAACGAAGAGAUAUCUAUCUCAAUUUGUCCAUAUACAUCACAUUCAAUUGGCACAUGAGGCAACCUCUGUUCAGAUUUUCCUUCAUUGGCAAUCCAAAGCGCCAUCUUGAGAAAUAUGAAGCUGCAUAAUUUAUAGCAUCACUAAAGAAUCUUAUACUUUGCCGUUUAUGUUUUAGGAUUUUCCCCAGGCGAUAAGCUUGUGAAGUUUGCGUUCUUUUAGAAUGGGAGUGUUAGGAAUACUUGUCUCACAUGAGAAAUCUAUAAAAUG
Molecule: unclassified non-coding RNA, 352 nt
Filed under: Hevea brasiliensis (rubber tree)
Lineage: Eukaryota; Viridiplantae; Streptophyta; Magnoliopsida; Malpighiales; Euphorbiaceae
Source: RNAcentral